CCUACGGGCGGCUGCAGUGAGGAAUAUUGGUCAAUGGACGAGAGUCUGAACCAGCCAAGUAGCGUGAAGGAUGACUGCCCUAUGGGUUGUAAACUUCUUUUAUAUGGGAAUAAAAUGUUCCACGUGUGGGCUUUUGUAUGUACCAUAUGAAUAAGGAUCGGCUAACUCCGUGCCAGCAGCCGCUGUAAUACGGAGGAUCCGAGCGUUAUCCGGAUUUAUUGGGUUUAAAGGGAGCUCAGGUGGAUUGUUAAGUCAGUUGUGAAAGUUUGCGGCUCAACCGUAAAAUUGCAGUUGACACUGGCAGUCUUGAGUACAGUAGAGGUGGGCGGAAUUCGGGGUGUAGCGGUGAAAUGCUUAGAUAUCACGAAGAACUCCGAUUGCGAAGGCAGCUCACUGGACUGCAACUGACACUGAGGCUCGAAAGUGUGGGUAUCAAACAGGAUUAGAUACCCUAGUAGUC
RNAcentral lists this ribosomal RNA (460 nucleotides) under uncultured bacterium. RNAcentral describes it as "partial 16S ribosomal RNA". It matches the Rfam family "Bacterial small subunit ribosomal RNA", at positions 338 to 795 of the family's 1533-position model. The record is from RNAcentral.